UCAUGUGUUGGACGACAAAUGUUUCUUUUAAAUUAUAACAUGCAUGAAUGGUUCGAUGAUAACAUGCUAUCCUUUAUUGCAUAUGUAUUAAUUUAUUUAUAUGCUAUCACUCGUGCUUGAAUGAUGAAUUGAAUGGAACUUACCUUGGACUUAUGAUCCCGCGGUCCACAUUUGCUUUUGUGGCUUGAAUGGGUCAUUGGUGCCCUUUGUGGCUUAUUGGUUAUAUUUACACAUCUGUUGUUUCCUAGCCAUUUUGCGGAGUUUAGUCAUACCAUGAUUUCCGGGUAGAGCUGAAGUUCGUUUAUCGAUUUUCUAGCCAUCUUGUGGUGUUCACGUACGAUAUGAUUUCUGGGUGGUCUAGAGUUGUAUGUUUGUUUUCCUAGCCAUCUUGCGAUGUUCAGUCAUACCAUGAUUUCCGGGUGGAGCUGAAGUUCGCUUAUCGAUUUUUUAGCCAUCUUGCGGUGUUUACGUACGACAUGAUUUCCGGAUGAAGAAGAGGUUUGAAGGUUGAUUUUCUAUUCACCUCAUGGAUUUCACUUGUACCAUGAUUUCCGGGUGGAGCUGAAGUUCGCUUAUCGAUUUUCUAGCCAUCUUGCGGAGUUCACGUACAAAUGCGAUUAUCGGGUGUAAUAGAAAGUCGUAUGGUUGAUCGUUUGGUUAUUUGGACAUGUUUCCUUGUAUUGCGACUGCCAUUAUAUUUUGCUUAUGAUGAAAUUCUGUUGAUUGGUUUGACUUUCUUAAUAUGAUGAAAUGCCUUAUUUAGUGUAUCUAAUUUCAUGACUUGUAAUCUAUAUUGGAUUAUGAACGAUGAGUGCGUAAUCUUAGAGGGUGCUCCUCACUGCGAUAGCCAUUGACGCUAUCAAACCGUAACAGUUGAUGCAGGUAUAGGGCGAGCCGAUGCUGUUCACUAGGUUGUUGGAGCAGAUCGAGUAGCUAGGGAGCUAGGUGGGGUCCUUGCGGCCCGCAUUGAUCUCCACUACUAAUUGAUAGACUCAUGUUUUUACUUACCUGAACCUUGUUAUUUGAGAUUGUAUAAGUCCUGUAUGGGCGCUACAUUUGGAAUUUUGUAAUGAUCAGAAUGUUUUUAUACAAUGCAUGGUUUAAUCUA
Long non-coding RNA from Magnolia sinica, 1108 nucleotides. RefSeq lists it as uncharacterized. The record is from RefSeq and is a predicted model, not a curated record. The transcript has 2 exons. NCBI's taxonomy places the organism in Eukaryota, Viridiplantae, Streptophyta, Magnoliopsida, Magnoliales, Magnoliaceae.